UACGGGGGGGGCAAGCGUUGUUCGGAAUUACUGGGCGUAAAGGGUGCGUAGGUGGCGCUGUAAGUCGGGUGUGAAAUUUCGGAGCUUAACUCCGAAACUGCAUUCGAUACUGCGGUGCUUGAGGACUGGAGAGGAGACUGGAAUUCAUGGUGUAGCAGUGAAAUGCGUAGAGAUCAUGAGGAAGACCAGUGGCGAAGGCGGGUCUCUGGACAGUUCCUGACACUGAGGCACGAAGGCCAGGGGAGCAAACGGG
This 253-nucleotide ribosomal RNA is filed under the name uncultured bacterium. RNAcentral describes it as "partial 16S ribosomal RNA". It matches the Rfam family "Bacterial small subunit ribosomal RNA", at positions 524 to 776 of the family's 1533-position model. The record is from RNAcentral.